Long non-coding RNA from Fukomys damarensis (Damara mole-rat), 477 nucleotides. RefSeq lists it as uncharacterized. Lineage: Eukaryota; Metazoa; Chordata; Mammalia; Rodentia; Bathyergidae. The transcript is spliced from 3 exons. The record is from RefSeq and is a predicted model, not a curated record.
CUGAGUCCCUGCUGGGGGACAUAGAAGAGGAGCAUCCUGCUUACACUUUCCGUGCCACUGCCCCACCAGUUACCAUCUGUGGGAGUCUCUCCUUCCCCCAGCAGCCUCCACUGCUACUGGUCGGAAUUAACCCAAUUCAGUGUAACAUUGCAUGAAAAUACACUUUUACAACUUUGAGAGGUUGAAAGUAAGUCAUCAGCUGAUUUGUCUACCAAUGGUGACUUGGUUCACGCAAGCCAAAGAAGUUGUGACAGUGAGAUGGAGCAAGACAUGACAGAUCAAGAAGUAGAGAAUGAAGAUGCUGAUUCAGAUGAGAAAGACAACAGUAAUCUUCCAGGUGUUGGUGAUUCAGAGACAGGGGACAGCAGGCAGAUGGGACAGAGAAGGAGGAGGCUUCAAGGGUCACCAGACUCGUGUGUGGGGGUGCUGGCAGCCUCCAUCGGGACCAUCGAGGCAGCUGGCUUAUAGCUGGCCACU